GGAAUCCGGUUAGUCUCACCCACCCCAAAAUCUAAUCAAACCCAACCGCCCCAAAAUAACUCUCACCGGCCGGCGGCAUGCUCCAAACCACCCCAAAAUUCAACCAUGCAAUCCUUACACAUCCUUCUUCCUAAAUUCAUCAGUAUCUUUCCCUAAACCCAGCCAAAUUUUCCCAAUUUUGGAUCUAAAAUUGAAAAAUGCAAGCCCUAAUUUCCCUAUAUUCUCUUAUUUUUUCAAAUUUCGACUCGUUCUAACUCGGAUCUUACAUUAAUAGAUUACUCUCAACGGGAGUAAUCGAUUUAUGAUAGUUUUGAGUGAUUACCAGGAUGUCAGAUUUGACUGAUUUACCGACUCUGGAAAAACUUCGGCUCCUUUCAUCGUUCGUUGAGUCAUCUCAAUUUGUCAGUUCAUUCCGGCAAGAAUUGGUACAUUUCCCUUCGUUUCUCUCUUGACUUUGUUUCUUGCACCAUUUUUCUGUUUUUUAUAUUAUCAUGCUUACAUUUGUUUCGUAAUUUUGUUUUCUUUAUUAGUUGAUUAAUCUUAGUUUGUUUUGUUUUCAAUUUUUUAAUAGCAUAAGUUAGGGUUAAUCGUCAAAACAUCUAAUUUCGAAUUGUUUUAUUUUUUUCUACUUUUUAUAAUCACUGAAGUUGAUUUUGGUUUGAUCAUUUUGGCUGAUUGGGCUUUUGGUCAUCUCUGACUCGGUUUAAAGAGGUCUAUUCAUUUGGGUUGGGUCUUGGGUCAAAUUCGACCCAUGUGUGAUUCAUUUCGGAUGUAAAUCCAGGGGUGUCUAGGAAUGUUUUAGGUAUUUGAGGACUUGGGGGAAUAUUUUUUGUUGUGGGAAGCUUCUAGAUGAUAAGGUUGGGUUGGUUUAUUAAGAGAUAAGGGAGGUUUCAGAUAUUUUAGAAGGGUUUAGGGAUAAAAUGACCAAGAAAUUAAGGGGUAGAAGGGGAAUUAGCUAAUCAGGCUAGUGCUGCUUUAGAAAUGCCUCUAUAAGGACUCUUUACUUCCAAUUUGAGGUAGAUAUUGGAACCUAUAGAAAAUAUACAAAACAUUAUACAUUGUGUGAGAGAGUUCAAUGGGUUUUCACUUUUGAUUUUCCUUCAUGUAAAAAGAACAAACACACUCUGAAGCUUCAUUUUCUAGAUAUCUGAUUCCAAAAUGGGUUUGAGCUGAAGUUGUUUGCUCGAUGAUUAGUUGCUGCUUCUUUGCUUUCUUGCUUCACAGAAUUUCAAUGUUUUUCUCAUCAUUUUGCUCUUGCUCUCUAGGUAUUCUUUUGGGCUUUGAUGACUCCUGUAGCACAUACGUACUUAGAUAUAUGAAAUUGUAAUGGGAACUUCCAUGAAUGAAUCAAGGAUUUUUGGUUUCCUCCUAUAUGUGUUUUAUUGAAUCUCUAUGUCUAUUUUCGUUUAUUGUCUUUUAAUUUACUAUGAUCAUUGUGUGAUGUGCUGAAUGGAAAAUGAUUUAGGAAAAAAUUCGUAUGUUAGGAUCUAGAUGUUAAUGUCUAGAUUUUCAUAUUAGUAGAUAGCUUUUGUGGUUGCUUUCACAUUUAGGAUUGUUAAUUUGAAUGUCAUGUUAAUGUUGGCUGUUGAAAUUACAUAGUUUAAUAAUCUAAUUUUAGCAAUGUUAGAGUAUUUUGUUGGUGCAAGAAUUAGUGUGUUUUAAAAGAGUAUCUUUGGAUCCAUGUUGAUCUUACUAUUGUUUGUAAGCAGAAUUAAAAAUUUAAAUGCGUAAUAUGGUGAUGCUCGUUCUUGUCUUAUGUUUUUCUUAAAAUCCUUUAAGGGAUUACGCUAAUUUGGGCAGCCUGGAAAUAGGCCUUUCAUGCAGGUUUCCGCCCCUUGUCACUCCUUUGGACCAACUUUGAGCCUUAUUAUAUCCAUCAGAUUUUAGCUCAUCAGUUUUGUAAUUAAUAUAGUAAAAGGAGUUUCUUUAAGUAUUGUAUGGCCCUUCUCAUUUUAAUGCUGGGUUUGGAAUCUAGCACAGCCCUUUCUUGUGCUCUUUUUUUC
RNAcentral lists this long non-coding RNA (2003 nucleotides) under Nicotiana benthamiana. RNAcentral's name for it is "long non-coding RNA (NBEN_LNC031744)". The record is from RNAcentral. Lineage: Eukaryota; Viridiplantae; Streptophyta; Magnoliopsida; Solanales; Solanaceae.